CUUGCCCUUGUCCCACCGGAAUCCGAUGGCUACUCUGGGAGACUCCUGCGAUCGGCCUCAGGUGGUGGAAAGACCAUUCUCUACAUUGCACUGAUUCAAGAAGAAAUCGACACAAGUCCUCUCCCACCAGAUGCACCUGAGUUUGCUAGAAUGCCCGAGGCAAAUUGCCACAAGUGUGGUAAACUAAUGCCUGUACAGCUGCUGCCAGUCCUGUGGGUCUGCAGGUCACAGUACGGAGCCAGACAAGGAUCUCAGCAUUGCUGGAGUGGCAGAGAUGGAAUCUGAUGUAAUGGAUUGUAGAGUGGUACAGGCAUCGUGUCCGAUCUGUCUGAAAAUGUAUCCCAUCGCUAACCUUGAGGUUCAUGCCAGUUUUUGUGAGAGAACCGAAGUGCAAGAUGGACCCCAUGUGCAAGUGAUAUCAUGGUAAGAUAAUAAGAAAGCCAUAAAGGGACAAACAAGAAUUUUGAGACAUUUCCAGGAUGCAAUGGCUAGAAUGGGCACUCACCCACCAGAGAUGUAAUUACGGGAGAUAUUACCCUAAGUGCCAGAAGGUAUAUUGCACAGGAGGUGGGGAAUAUCUCCCAAUCACUAGAGGGUGAGUGGUGCAUUUGUCAUCUAUUACAACACACUGUCUGGCUUUUGCGAGGUUGUAAGCAGGAUAGUUUUAAUUUCAGUGUCGGUGACGUGUUGAGCUGCAUCAGUCAGCGAGUCAGUACAGACGGAGAGUUCCGGAUCAGCGUCAGCAGAGAGAACCUCCUUCAACGAGGGCUGAGUCAAUGGAAGAGGCAGAAAAAAAGUUUACGAGCUAGCAACUUGAAAGUCACCUACCUGACAGGACCUGGUGUAGACACCGGGGCUCUCAAA
This is a long non-coding RNA of Coregonus clupeaformis (lake whitefish), 864 nucleotides long. RefSeq lists it as uncharacterized. The record is from RefSeq and is a predicted model, not a curated record. The transcript has 4 exons. Lineage: Eukaryota; Metazoa; Chordata; Actinopteri; Salmoniformes; Salmonidae.